RNAcentral lists this long non-coding RNA (274 nucleotides) under Pan troglodytes (chimpanzee). RNAcentral's name for it is "long non-coding RNA NONPTRT013367". The record is from RNAcentral. Lineage: Eukaryota; Metazoa; Chordata; Mammalia; Primates; Hominidae.
AGGCAUGGACUGUGAGAUGGGACUGUGAGGUAUGUGACCAUGGGGUGUGGGCUGUGAGGUAUCAACCCUGAGUGUGAGGUGUGGACUGUGAGGUGUGACUGUGAGGUGUGGACUGUGAGGUGUGACUGUGAGGUGUGACUGUGAGGUGUGGACCAUGAGGUGUGACCAUGAGGUGUGACCACGAGGCAUGGACUGUGAGAUGGGACUGUGAGGUAUGUGACCAUGGGGUGUGGGCUGUGAGGUAUCAACCCUGAGUGUGAGGUGUGACUGUGAG